AAAUCUCUAAAAAGACUUAUAUUUAGGAACGGAGGGAGUAACAACUUAUCAUAAAGAAACAUGAGCAAUACAACUAGAAAUAGUUUAGGCAUCAGCUGCACUAAUAAAAUACCCUUCUUGAAUGAUGAAUGUACACCGCAUGACGAAGCAUGAAAGACAGACAAUACAACAGCUUGCACAUCGACACAUCAUCAUGGAGCACAAAUUCAGUAUGAACAAAUUCACAUACGAGCACUACAUUCAACUCCAAGGCGGGUUGCUGAUAAACAUCAGUCAAAGUAGGUCCUUGCCGUGCCAUCGGACAUGGAAGACUAGUGCCAGGAGCAUAAGUACAUAAUGCUCCAGAGACGUCAGGCAAUAUUUAACGAAACAAAUUAUUAGAAGCAUGACGAAAGUCUGAGCAAUCUGCAGAAAUAUCUGUAAAAAAAUGUUGAAAUGUUAAACUAAUAGGUAAAGUUUAAUCAAACAGGUUCAGAGUGGGAUACUUGCAAUGAGAUGGUCUCACCUUUAAACAGAGAAUACAAAUCUGAUAGCCGAAGCAGCUCAUACUGAAAUCACGAAGAGGAAAUCUCAUACUGAAAUGACGCGGAGCAAAUUAUAACUCAUUUUCUGUGGGAUACGACAUGAAAAGAAGAAAAGAGGUCUAAGCACCCAGAUCUGCAACAAACCAACCAAUCAAGAAACAAGCCAAGGGAUCAGCUCUGCUUGGGGCAAUGAAUGAAUGAAGAAGUUUCAAACGCCUAAGGCAGUUGAAAAAAAAUCAACGAGGAAGUUAUAACAGAGACAUGUCUACGGCAGUCAUAUCAUAUAUAUGACAUCUAAGGCAGAGCGAGUUGGAAGAAAAAACAUUGGAAGCAUGAAGAAACCCUCUUAGAACAAGAAGAGUGAAAAACGGAAUUAUUAAGAAGUGAGAGGCAGAAGAUUUACUAGAAAACAAUCAACUCAGACAUAGUGACACACGCUAGAUCCAUUGUUUCUGCGCACACAUACUGGAUCCAUCUUAGCUUGAAAAUGGAAACAUCAAAUGGAUGCGACCGUCUGGGGGGCAUCACCAGAUCUGAAAAAAUCUGAAUUUCAUCUAUAAAAAAAAACUGCAUCUGGCUUGUGAUUUGCGGCACAGGAUUUGUAGAUCUGAAGAAGAAAAACACGAAACGAUGGCAAAACAGAAGACAGGAUGGUGAACAAGGAAGGACGCGACUCAUCCUCGCCGGCUGUCGUGCCCAGCUUCCGGCGACUGCAUCGUCAUCAUCUAC
This 1253-nucleotide long non-coding RNA is filed under the name Hordeum vulgare. RNAcentral's name for it is "long non-coding RNA (HVUL_LNC011239)". Lineage: Eukaryota; Viridiplantae; Streptophyta; Magnoliopsida; Poales; Poaceae. The record is from RNAcentral.